This 780-nucleotide long non-coding RNA is filed under the name Rattus norvegicus (Norway rat). RNAcentral's name for it is "long non-coding RNA NONRATT028192". The record is from RNAcentral. Lineage: Eukaryota; Metazoa; Chordata; Mammalia; Rodentia; Muridae.
CUGACCCACUAAAACAGAUACUUUGGACCAGCCAAGCCAUCAGAGGGGUUCUCCAAGAUCAGAGCAGGUUUCAUUCAGAACUGAGAACACAGAACCUUCCUUUUAAGAGACAAGAGGUUUUUGACUCAGUUCCCCUUUGGGGCCUAGGUGCAGCCAUCUGCAAAAGGUUUCUUCCAGAGUAACCUGGAGGGAGAUGCUUAUGAGAACACAUUUUUGCAAAUUUUCAGCCCGUCCCGGUACGACCACCAGCCUCUAAGAAUAGUCAGUUGAGACCCACAGAGGCAACUCCUUCAGUGGCUGGCCCUGGUCUCCUCAGACCGUCUCCCGUCUCUUUGCCCUGGGGGUUCUCCGUGCCCUUUGCUGGCUGUAGGUACUUACCCCCUGUCUUCUGCAGGAAUGAGGAGCACAAUAAGAAGCCGGGCACACCAGGCACACCAGGCUCCCAUGACCUGGAGACGGCACUUAGGCGGCUAUCCCUGCGCCGAGAGAACUACCUAUCUGAGCGGAGGUUCUUCGAGGAGGAGCAGGAGAGGAAGCUGCGAGAGCUGGCUGAGAAGGGAGAGCUGCACAGUGGCUCGCUCACGCCCACCGAGAGCAUCAUGUCCCUGGGCACACACUCACGCUUCUCCGAGUUCACGGGCUUCUCCGGCAUGUCCUUCAGCAGCCGCUCCUACCUGCCCGAGAAGCUGCAGAUCGUGAAGCCACUCGAAGGUGACCACCAGGGGCCUCGGCCCCUCUCUGUCCUCCUCUGCGACUCUCUCUGGGCCCUGAUCCACCACA